CAAGAAAAGACCUGUGUUAUUCCAGGCCCUGACACAGAGGGUGUUGCGUUCACCUCUCUACUGAUGCGAUUAACAUCUCGUAUCCAAUGCUAUCCCAGAAGAAUGGAAAUAUUGGCAUUCAUGUGGCAUCAUGUCUCAAUCUUCCGCCAGGACAUCCCACCGCUGCAAAGUUUAGAUGUCUCACUAAAGAACACAAUCAGCCAAACAUAUAAACAUUAAACUCAAGCUCUUGCAAGCAACAGUGAGGCAAGGCAAGGAACAUCUCUUCAAACUAAUGCACUCUUUGGCAAAGAGCCGAACAUCAAGAUGUCUCUUCAACAUGAUAUUGAUGUCUCUCAGAAUUUCACUGCUAGGGUUUUCAAAUCAGCACUUGCUAUCUAAUCAAAGAGUGCACUGCUUCUAUCAUUUUUACAGCCCUUACAGUGUUUUCAUGGGAAAAUGCAACUUGAGAACAUGGUGCUUGGGGACCUAUGGUUUAUUUGCAAUAGUAGUAGAAAUGUUUAGUGGGCUGGAAGGCUUACAUUGGGCAUCCUUUACUGUUCAUUUUAGUUUUUUAGUAAAAGGGAUCUGUCAUGCCUAAUCAACAUUCAGAUUAAAUAUGUUGUACUGCUUUUGCAUGCUUGAGGACUAGUAAAUGGGUCUGACG
Carassius carassius (crucian carp) is the source of this 646-nucleotide long non-coding RNA. RefSeq lists it as uncharacterized. The transcript is spliced from 4 exons. Lineage: Eukaryota; Metazoa; Chordata; Actinopteri; Cypriniformes; Cyprinidae. The record is from RefSeq and is a predicted model, not a curated record.